GCAUAUGAAAGAUGAACGAAAUGAGACACUGUAUAAAAUGAAGGUCACCAGGUUUGGGAAAGCGUGGCAGUCCACAGUGAGGGGAGGGUUAGUAUUAAUGUGUUUUAGGCGCCGGACGCCCACUAGGCAUGCAGUGGAGUGGGGGAGGCUGCCUUUUGGGGGUAUGGGUAAGUGGUUUUAGAAAUGACAUGGAAUAGUCAGGAUUCUUACUUUGGGUCCAGGAAGAUUUCAGGUAGUUGAAUUCUCAGGAAAAAAAAACAACACAACAAACUAAAACAAUCAAAAAAGAAACCCAAAUAACCAUAUCCCAAAGUAAUAAAUAAUAAAAUGACUAGCAAAGUUACAUUUGAAAGGCACGUGUUAAUGGAAUGACUCUCAAUAGUGUGUGGGUUUUUGUUUGUUUGUUUGUUUGUUUGUUUCCUUGUUUGUUUUGAUUGUUGUUCCUUUCAGAGAGGUUCUCACUUUGUAGGUCUUAUAGGCCUGGCACUAACUCAGUAUGCAGAUGCAUCUGGUCUUGACCUCAUAGAGAUCUACCUACCUCUGCCUCCUGGGUGCUGUACACUUGGUGUCUCUCAAUAUUUUAUUAGCAUCAUUUUACAUGUGCUUCAGAAUAAAUGCACCUACUAAAGUAGGGCCCUGAAAUCAACGUGCUGCAAAGACAGAGAUGGAAAUCAGUGAUAAAUAAGGCAAUUUUUUCCCAAUAUUUAGUGGCAGGUCUUUAUUAUUGUUUACCAGUUGGGAAAGUAACAGAUAAAUGUAGAAGAGGGAGAGGAAGGAAUGAAAUCCUGACCCAGAAUGAUGACAGUGCCUGAGUAUCUGUACCAUGAGUAAUGAAUAAUUCAUGUCAGAAAAAUCUGGUUUAGUUCAGACAGAGAUUGUUGUAUUAGCUUUGCUGGGACUAAUCCUGUGGAGACGUCAGCUAUCCCAAAUGUCGUGUGCUUUGGGGUUUGGUGCUUCAUGAAUUUUGAUUGUUAUUAUAAGAAAAAUCAGUGACCAAAUUUACACUUUGAUUACAUAAAAAAAACAGGAUGAAGGAAUAGUAAGAAAUAUUAUUAAUAUAACUUGCAAAUACUGAAGUCCCUGUAUCAGUGGUUCUGGGGAGCUUUCUUAUUUCCCAGAGAUGCAAAGACAGGUGGGCAUCCUAGCCAGUCCUGUUGUUCUGAGUCAGUCAUUUGGACCCUGGUGGUAGUGGUGGUUGUUGUCGCAAUACUGAGGCUUUACACAUUAAUUCUUUUCUUCCUAUGGGUUGGUAUUAAAUCCCAGAUUGUUCUUUUGCUUAGGAGAAAAUUAACGAGUUAUAAAAUGUUAAUAAAUGUGUGCAUUGGAGGAUCGAGACAGGAAAAUCCCCUAGUGCUUUGCUUCAUCACCUCAGUGCCUUGGUUUCAGAGCUUUGUGGCUUCUUCCUUGGCACAGGCUCAGUGGACGCCAUAUUCUUAGCACAAGUGUAGAGGUCGGGUAGCCAACACUCUCUGUGUAGUUUGUUUGGUUUGUCUCCUGGUUUUCACUAUAGGUUUGCACAGUCUCACACAGAGCUGAGAACUACAUUUUGCCAUGAUACCAAUGUGAACUGAAGACUUCUUGUCUUGUCUUGGGUGACCAAGUGUCUAUCAGGUUGCUAAUUAUGGCCAACUGAAUACCAAUGGUACAAAUAGGCCUUGCAUGAACAUUGUCAUUCAUAAUAUAAAUAUGGAAACCAUCAUAAAUUAAUGCAAUGGUAGGUCAAUGUUAGAAAGAGGGUCCAUUAACAGAUUAGCAAUAAUAGCUAUAAUAAUAAUAAUAGCCCCUACUUUGGGAAUGAAAUGGGUCAUAAGGCUUAUAAUUUUAAUUAUUAUUCAAUAUGAAAAGUAGAAAUGUUAUAGAAAAGAGGCCACAAUCCUGAACCAAUGGUGAUGAAUGUUGCCAUAUGAGGCAUAGACAAUGCACUCUGGGCCCAGUUUUCUGUAAUUCAUUCCAUGAGAUGGAAAGUAUUUGUUUUUAGUUUACAUGUUCAUUUAUUUCCAUCCUGUUAGUUUGAAAGCAUUGAUCCCUGCAUAGAAAUAACUUUUGUACUUUAAAGUCUUCUUUGACUAGAGAUGAGGUAGACAGUAUAAUUAAUAGCUAAUAGACAAUGUCUGGGUCAAGGAAAAAAAAAAGCAACAAAGGGCCUCCAAAUAAUGACUUCUUUCAUGGCCAUCCGAAGGAAGGAGGAGAAGCAAAACUAAAAUAGGUUAGGCCAUGUUUUAAUGAGCUGCUCUGCUUUGGUGUCCUGGGCUCGGAUGCCCUGAGCCAGGGGACGAAUCUUUCCAGGAGCUUGAGUUCCAUGGUUACGUGCAUCUUCAGAAGCACGAAAUGCUUCAUCAUAAUAACCACUGUGAUGGUUUCGGCUUUCGAAAAGCAUUAAAGUUACUGAAAUGUGCCUACGGUAAACAUUAGACUUAAAUUAUAUAUUGCACUGAGCCCUUUGUAUGAACCCCUGAGCUUGAUUUAUACAAUACAUCUGGACUCUCUGGAAGCAAUUAAUUAUAUAGGAACAUCCUAGAGAUUGUUCAAGAGUCUACUUUUCAUUACAUUUAUAUAUGUUUUUUUAUAAGAUAUGAAAUAAUCAAGAAACUAAUGUGCAGUAUAGAAAAAAAGGCCAUUCUACUUGUCACCUUACGAAGUAUACCACAUUCAAGCACCUAACUGUGACUCAGUACCCAUGGAUCCAACUUUACCACCCGUGCCUCCCUCUUUCCCACCUCACCUGUCCCUGGGAACCACCAGUCAACUCUCAUCUUGCCUGGGAUUAGUUUCAAUGCGGAUGCACUCAUGCACCUUCUAUGCACCUUCUGUGCCUGAAUUAUUCCUCUGAAUUCUAUUUAUUCUGUCUACAGUGUCUUUUUAAAAAAAAAUAGUUUAUGUCUAAAUAAGAUCUGAGGAGGGCUUAGUGCUUUAGUAGUGUGACCAUGCUCAAGUGGUUAGAUUCACAUUCACACACAUUUGGGUAACUAAUUUUAGACUGCAAAUGUUAUAUUAAAAAAAAAGAAGGAGCCAUAAAGUUGAGAGAGACACAAGGUUCAUCCCAGAGUAAGUAGGGUGUUGCUUAUGAACAAAAUAUAUUGUGUAAAUGUACGAAAUUCCCUUAGAAUAUAUCUAAAAUUUUAAAUCCAUAAUAAUAUAGAAAAAAUACUUAUCAGAAAAAGAAGCAAUAAUUUGAUUUAGAAUGCAAAGUGGCCUCUGUGUCUCUUUGGAAGCCAGGGAGGUUGGACGUGUCCAGCAUCAUCCUGAGCUUAUGAAUCAUGUUUACUGAUAUAUUUUAAUUAAUAGCUUAGAGAAAAAAUAGAAAUGCUGUAAUUAAACAGGCAAACAUGAACCAGUGAUGGUGGCUGAUGUCAAUUUGAAUAAAAUAUGCCCGGACUCUGGAAUCAAGUGCAAAAGAAAUACAGGCCAUCCCCUCAUGAGACAAUGUACUCACGAAAGAGUUGGCAACAUCCAAGGAUCUUGGUCCUGGCUUUUGGUCAAAGUUAGAUGAAUGAGCAUAUCAGUCAUUCGAUUAAUGAAAUAUUGUCUAACUACAACAAUAAAUGGACAGGCACAUUAUGAUGUGUGAGGAAACCAGUGUGGUCCAGGUCUGACCGACUGACUCUGUGACUCCCCAUUUUGUGUUUAAACAUGAUAUAGACACCAUAUGGUAAAGACCAGUGCUCUAAGAAUAUGGAAAAUUUUAAAUUCUCUUUUCUGUUCGUUAAUGUGGUUCUCAACCUGUGGGUUGCAUCCCCUUUGAGGAGGGGUCAAAUGACCUUCAUACAGGGGCUGCAUAUCAGAUUCUUUUUUGUUUGUUUGUUUUGUUUUGUUUUGUUUUUUUGAGACAGGGUUUCUCUGUGUAGCCCUGGCUGUCCUGAUACUCACUCUGUAGACUAGGCUGGCCUUGAACUCAGAAAUCUGCCUGCCACUGCCUCCCGAGUGCUAAGAUUAAAGGCGUGUGCCACCACCACCCAGCAUAUAUCAGAUGCUUUUAAUUACCAUUCAUAACAGUUAUGAAAUAGGAACAAAGUAAUUUUAUGGUUGGGUGUGUCACGAGAAGGUGUGGAACUGAAUUAAAGUGUCACAGCAUUAGGAAAAUUGAAGACCACUGCUCUAAGCUAAAGACGAAGUUAAAGUCCAAUGUUUUCUCUAAACACUUUUUUAAAUCAUGUGUUCUUUCUCCUAUUGUUCCCCAUGGUCCUGUGCGAGCGAGCUGAUGGAAUCUUAAUGGCAGAUUUCCCUCUGGUCUCUCUCUGUCGGGAUCCCGGAGGAUGAUGUAAGUAAUAUUUCUAAUUCCUUCUUUGGUUUGGGUGGUUUAUUUAGGGAGAAUGCACUGUAUUUUUACAGUUUUAGGAUGCAGACAAACUGAAGCCAUUUUUACAUUUCAGAUGAAACUGAAUACGUAAUACUGAUCACUAUUAUGCAUAAAGAGCUAAAGACAUAUUUUGACCCAGACAUUAUUCUGGAUUAUAACCAGCCAUGACCUUGUUGGUUUUUGUUUUCUUUUUUUUUUUUUCAAUCAUGGGCUUUUAGAAACAUUAUUAGUUACUGAAUAGAUUGGCUAACACAGAGGAUAAAAAUAAGUGACGGGGUAUUGGGUCUCCCUGAGAGACAAAUGUCAGGGCUGAAUGCCAUGUGAGGUCCAACAGGAUGGGUAUGCUAGUGAGCAAGGAUUAGAGGAGGUGAGUGUAGUUUUUCAGCCUCUGCUCUCAUCUCUACUCUUCAGAAUGGAGGUUUUAGAGAGAAUGGAAUCUUCUCUGGUCCUCUCCUUGGUGUUCACAUCCCUCUUCUUCAUUGUGAACAAUAGUUAAGUUUUUGGGUUUUUUUUUUUUUUUUUGGUUUGUUUGUUUGUUUUUCUGUAUUUUCCCACAGGUUGAUAGAAACAUUUAGUCAUUAUUCCAUACAUGAAGAAAUGAGCACUGUCACCAAAAGAUGUAGUGGUUGACAGGUUUAAUCUUUUGGGGACCUUCAUGCAUAUCAUUUUUCUAUUAUGUAGUUUAUAUAAUUUUCUCUCUUAAUGAAACAAUUCACAAAGCCAGAAUGUAUUGUGAAUGGAGAUACAUGCAGCACCUGAUGCCCCCGGAUUGCUGUGGCAUGUGAGGCAUGUAUGUUGAAUAUCAUAUGUCUAGAACUCUGAUCUAAAACGAAUGGGCAGGUCCUUAUUUAAAUUUGGGUCCUGUGUUCAAGUAUCCAUUUCAAGGAUCUCAUUUAAUAUCUUUGUUUUCCUUUCUGUAAAUAUUAUUGUAAAAGAAUAAAGGCAGUUUGAAUAAACGUAUGCAUAGAGAUGACAAAGGUAAAAAAUUUGCUCAUUAUCAAAAUACACAACUAGGAUAUAAGUAUUAGGAUUUCUAAUGAAGUCUCUCUAUACAGACCAGGCUGCCCUCAAACUCUCAGCCCUGCUGUGUAGUUCAGUCAAAUGCUAGACUUUUAUUCAUUAGUCACCAAACCUUUUACAAGAGAAAUUGUUCUGCACUAAAGAUGAUGCAGACAAGUCAUUGUCAAUCAUUAAACUGUAUCAAUUAUAAAUGUAAAGCUCAUUAAGAAGAGGAUGGCUAGAUAGGCUUGCAGUGAUUCUGCAGAAGGUGACGGUAAUGUCAUAGUAAUAUGAGUGGAUGCAGACACCCUCGCCACCUCCCUCUUUGUCCUCCUCAGAUGGAGGUGUUAAGCUGAGCUGGGAACUCCUUGUCUUGCUGUGUGUUUGCACUGUGAAUAGCAAUCAACAAUUUUAUUUUCCUGGUUUAAUUGAUUAAAGGUGACCAUAGUGUUAAUUAUGUUUUUAAAGUUGUAUACAGUGGAGUGGGGCUGGGGAGGUGAAGCAAUGUGAUUCGACCUGAAAGAACUAUCUUUUCUUCCCCUUACUCUGCCUGAUACCAACCAGAAAUGAUCUUGAACAAAGUGAUGCCUGCAGGAGUCUAGUUACAUACUUACUGUAUAUAAGUUUCCAGUCAAGAUAACCAUGCCUGUUCCCUCAUCAAUUCCUCAUUAUCCUGAAACUCCAUUAUCCUCUUCCCUAGCCCGUUAAGAUAUUAAGAAACUAUCAUCUAGAGUUGCUCCACAAUACAUACAUAAGGUCAACGAACUGUAACUAAGCAACUUUUCUUCAUUUUUCUCUUCUCUCUCUACCAUCUGGUAACUAUCACUCCACAGUCAACUCCCAGGAAAUGAACCCUUUCGUGUCCCACAUGAGUGAGACCAUAUUGUGUUUGUCUUUUUGUGCUUAGCCUAUUUCCUUUGAUAUGAUCAUCUCCAGUGCCAGCAGAUCACUAAAAAUUAUAGAAUACCAUUCUCCUUUAUGCCUGAAAGAACCUAGCGUGUUUCUUACAUCUAAAGCAGUGCUUUCCAGCCUUCCUGAUGCUGCGCUUCUUUUAGUUCCUUGUGUUGUGAACUCCCAGACAGAAAAUUAUUUUCAUUGCUACUUCACAACCAUAAGUUUGCUACUGUGAUGAAUCAUAAUGUAAAUAUGUCCACUUUCUGAUAGUGUAGGAUGACCCCUGUGAUGGAGUCAUUUGACCCCUAAAGGGGUCACAACAAACAGUUUGAAAGCCACUGAACUGAAUUAGACUAAAACCCAAAACCCAAAACAGUAGAUAAGGUUCAGUAGAUAUAAGCAUGCAUAUCGCUAAAAAGAAGCACUCAAAUAACCAAGAAGUCUGUGCUCGAAUGCUCAGAGUCAUCAAUUGCAGAAACAUGCAAACCCAUAUCCCAGCAAGGUAACUCCUCCCUCAUUCCAGUUAGGAAGACUGUUAUCAAGAAAGGCUAGUUUUAUCACUGACUGGCUAUAGGGUAGGUAUCAGAUUUCCUUUGUACAUUGUGUAUGGGGAUAUAAAUUAAUCUAAUAUUAUAGAAAACAGCAAAAAAAAAAAAAGCCCCCAACACGCUGAAUUGUCUGAUAACCCAAGCAAUCCUCUAGUAGGUCUGCAUAUAAAGAAAAUGGUGAUGCCCCUGUCUCUCUCUCUCUCUCUCUCUCUCUCUCUCUCACACACACACACACACACACACACACACACACACACACACACACACACACACACACACCCCUGGCCUUCCAUAUUCUCUGCAGUGAUCAAUAAUACAAGGUUAGAAAGACUUGAGUAGCCCUCAACUGAUGAGUGGAAAAGAGAAUGUGGUAGACACCUACCUGCCUGGGACACUGCUCAUCCAUAUAAAAGCCUAAUGAGAGAUCGAUUCCAGUUGUUGAGAUUCCUGAUGGAUCACUGCCACACUGAGGCCAAUUAACAAAAGAAAAGGUCUCAAGAGGAGUAAGAUUCUACAGACAGAUGUUAACCUGCCAAGCUUCGUGUUCUUAACGAGUUUCGUGAGCUGAACUAGUUCAUUCUAAUUUGUAACUUAGAAUAAAGUAAAUCCAAAUUAGAAAGCAAGCGGCUAAAACAUGGACUAGUGAUAAUGGCAGUUGAGAGUGAGUCUCAUAUGUUGCUGGAAACAUAUCUGAACUCUAAUAGCCAACAUAAUGCACAAUAGUUCAUUUUCUUGGUAAAAGACAUCCUUGAGACCUGCUCAACAUGUGGGUCAACAUGUGGGUCACGGACCUUCGACCCUUUCACAGGGUCACAUAUCAUGUUUACACUAUGAUUCAUAACAGUAGCAAAAUUACAGUUACGAAGUUGCAACAAUAGUAUUAUGGUUGGGGGUCACCUCAACAUGAGGAAGUGUAUUAAAGUGUUCCAGCUUUAGUAAAGUUGAGAACCAUGGUGCUAGACACAUUUAGUAAUAUUCAAGAACCAUGAGGCUGGUAUCUGUGUUGAUAUAGUUAAUUCCGUCAUUAGAAUUAAGCAGUUCAACUAUAAUUCAACCAAUAACUGAUGUGUUAAUCACAUACAACAUGCAGUGUGUCAGCGGUGCUUUGAUAUGUUAUGUAAAUGGUAAGGCACAGGGAGUAGUGGUCAGAACUCACACAUUCACCCUUUGCUACUGUAGACAGCAGGUGUUUGAGCCUUGCCUAUCAGCUGGGUGUGACGAUAUGUUAAAUUGGUUUCUAAUUUAAAUCAUUUCAACAUCUUUUGGUAAGAUUAGAGCUUCAGCUGUUAAAUUAAUGAGUGAAUAAGUUAAUUCAGAAAGCAAAGCUAAAAGCCAAAGACCUGUGGAAAGACUCUUCCUUCCCAUUUUUCAUCUUCUUUAUGUUCACCUGCUCUCUUCUGUUCUCUUUCCAAUGCUCUCCCACUCGAGCUGGGGCUGGAUUUUCCAUGGUCGGGGCUCCGCGGUGCAUCUCUCCCAGGAACCUGUGUAAGUAAUAGGCAUAGAUCUUGUUUCCUUGGACAAUUUUGCUCUGUUUUCAAAAUAGGCAGUGAUAGAAGUUCUAGUGUACUCAUCUUGGGACUGUGAUGAAUAUUUUAACUGAGUAACUGGUGUAGUGAAACAAUAAGCUCAGUCAAUUAAAGGAUGGGGGUGUUGUAUCCCAAAUAGUAUAUUCUUGUUACAUCUGUCUAUGUAUCUUUAUCUAUCUAUCUAUCUAUCUAUCUAUCUAUCUAUCUAUCUAUCUAUCUAUCUAGACUAUCUAUUAUUAUAGAUACUAUAUAUAUUACAAUACAAGUAAUUUAAAUAUAAUAUAAUAUAAUUUAAAUAUAUAUGAAUACACACAGACAGACACACAGACACACAGACACACAGAGUCACACGUGUGACCUUGUCUACUUUAAUGUCAAUUUGUCAGAAGCACAUUACUAAUUGUUCCAUGUAUAUGGUACUGAGGAAAGUCAUUGAGAAAUUGAUUUUCUAGC
This 8717-nucleotide long non-coding RNA is filed under the name Mus musculus (house mouse). RNAcentral describes it as "long non-coding RNA chr12:109668868-109677585". The stretch from base 5045 to 5126 matches the Rfam family "Small nucleolar RNA SNORD113/SNORD114 family". Lineage: Eukaryota; Metazoa; Chordata; Mammalia; Rodentia; Muridae. The record is from RNAcentral.